UAUGAACCUCAACCAGAGCCAUUAAUGGGUCC
Molecule: non-coding RNA, 32 nt
Filed under: Mus musculus (house mouse)
Lineage: Eukaryota; Metazoa; Chordata; Mammalia; Rodentia; Muridae
Source: RNAcentral